UUUUUUUUUUUUUUUUUUGUCUUUUUAGGGCCGCAUCCUCGACAUAUGGAGGUUCCCAGGCUGGGGGUUGAAUCAGAGCUGUAGCUGCCAGCCUACACCACAGCCACAGCAACACCAGAUCCGAGCCGUGUCUGCGACCUACACCACAGCUCACGGUCCCUGUCUUGAUGUUCUUGGUACUUUUUGAACAAGGGGCUUUGUGUUUUCGUUUUGCACUUGGGCGCCAUAUGUUAGGUAGCUGGUUCUGCUCACCAGCUCUGGUUCCUCGGGCCAGGAUCGUUUCCCAGAGACCAUCUGGGAGAGGUGGGAGGAGAAGUGGACCUGGGUGACUCCUUUUAUUUAUUUAUUUUUUUUAGGGCCACACCUGCGGCAUAUGGAAAUCCCAGGAUAGGGGUCGAAUCGAGCUGUAGCUGCCGGCCUACACCACAGCCGCAGCAAAGCCAGCUCUGAGCCAUUUGCAGCAAUGAGGGAGCCUUAACCCACUGAGCAAGGGCCAGGGUUUGAACCCGUGUCCUCAAGGAUACUAGUCAGGUUCUUAACCUGUUAAGCCACAAGGGGAACUCCCCGGGUGAGUCCUUGAACAGGUCCUGUGUGUGAAACUGAGAUCACAGAGUCGGGUUCGUCCAGAGAGGAGGAGAGGACGAGAGCUGGAGGCUCUUUUCAAGAGAGGAUCGGGCUGUGGAGACGCACUGCCCGGGAAAGCCAGCCCCGGGGCCACUCUCUGAGAGAGGCCAGAUGCCGCCUGCCAUCCAAGCUGUCAGACUGUUGAUAAGAGACAUGAAGAUUUGCCCGGAGGGGGCAGAUGCCUGGCUUGGGUGGGACAGGCAGGGCGCCCUGGCUCCUUCGCCAACAGCUGCUCUGGAUGCUCAGCUUGUUCUCUGUGGCCUGGGUUCAGAUACCGUGUCUCUGAGUCCAGCCUGGCCUGGAGACAGGCUGUCAGAGGCUUGGGUGUUACCCUGUUGUGACAGGUACCAUUAGGAGGGAGGAGCCUGAGAGGCCUGGAUAGACUGUGUCACUUAAGUCCUGAGACCUAGUUACACGGCUGAGUCCCGAGGGUCCCCCAGGCUGGCCUGGGCCAGGUCUUGGGCCCAAAUUUAGGUCACUGCCUUCUCACCCGUCACGUUCUCUCUGCUCCCGCAGUGUCUUGUCCCUCACCUCCUUCCUCUCCGGCUCGGAACCUCAGCCUCCCUCCUCUGUGACUGGUGCCACCUGCCUCAGUUUACACAUGUACUUGUCACUUUCACUCUCGCAGUUUACUCUCAGUGGGCAGGACGAGGGUCUGUUCCCUAGCUUUUCCCUUGUCCUGCGCUCAUUUUUCUUUUUCUUUUUUUCCCCCAUACUCAUGCCAUGUGGAAGUUCCCCAGCCAGGGAUUGAACCCACACCACAGCAGUGACCCCAGCCGCUGCAGUGCCAAAAGCCAGAUCCUUAACCUACUGUGCCACAGGGGAACUCCCGCAGUCAUUUUUGAACAAGGGGCCUCUCAUUUUAUUUUUGUACUGUGACCCCCACAUUAUGGAACCUGACCUGCUGAUCUGCUCUCACCAGGCCAGGAGGACAGGUUCCAAGGCGCUGGAGAUCCCAACCUGACAAGGGGUUCCGAGUGCCAGAGGCAUCUCAUGUACUCUGGAAGGGGAGUGAAUGUCCACGGGCCCACAGGAAGGCCAUGCUGAGCGCCUACUGUGUGCCAGUGAGGGUGACAGUGCGGGGCCAGACUGCUACAAACAGAAGCGCUUUUCUUCAGGGAGUUUACCCAGGAGAGCGUUUAUAAGUCAGACAAAGCCUGGCGUCCAGGGGCCUCCUGGGCAGGAGUGGGGAGAAAACCCGGGCAGCGGGGAGCCAAGUUGGGGAGCCCUGCUUUGGGCGCAGACCCCGCCCUGCCUGGGUCGCCGGCCUCCGAGAGCUGAAAGGGCCUCUGUGCUCCGUCCCCCGCCUGCCCGCCGGCCAGGAGCGCAUUUCCUCAGCUGCGCCAGACCCCGGGGGCUCCGCAGACCCUCUGGGGACAGACACAAAUAGUUCCCGGCCCUGCUGCCCCGGCCAGUUACCUUGGGAACCAAACUCAAUCGCCUGACGUCAUCGGGCCGUUGCAUAGCAACCGGCAGAAACUCUCCCUCCAGCCUCCAGCUCUCCCCGCCUCCGCGGAGAGGUCGCCGUCGCCAUGGAGACAGCGGGGCUGGGCAGGGUGGAGGAUGCCCCCGACCCGCCGGCGCUGUUCUCGCCGCCCCUUGCCUGCUGGGCGGCGCCCUCCGCUGUGAUCCGGGGCUGCUCCUUUCCGCGGCGGAAGGGAACCAGUCCCAGCGGAGGAAAGGUCGCCGCCUGGCUUCGGGCCGCCCGGCGAGGGCCCGGUGGUGGCCUAAGUGCGCUGCACAGCCCUUGGGAUUUCUCUCCCAGAGAGAGGCCCUUGUUCCCAUCUGACGGCCCCCUUUUGGAUUCCAGUCUCAUUGCUCACCAGGCCUCAACCUGGGCUCCUGCUCUGGUAACAAGGAGCAGGUGGCGGCACCGUCCCAGGCCCCUCCCCUGCAGUCGCCCAGGACAUCUCAGUCGCGCUUGGCCACCUGCCUUGCGGGAGGAGACACGAGGCCCUGCUCGCACACUCUGCUCCGGUUCCUGGUCCCCUCCUCCACUCCUGUGCCUGCCCCUGGCGUCUGUGCUAUGAUGAUGCGAUCCGUGUUUACUGGGCCCUGCCUGGGUGCGGUUCGGCCAGGCCACCCCUGGGUGGGAGGAAGGGGGAGGGAGGUGCCUAGCUGACCAUUUCCCAUAGUUUCUGGCGUGGGUGUUGUUCUGAGGCUCCUCCAUCUCCCCGCCCAUUUCUGCUUCACACCAUAGCAGAUCAUAAAUUGCUGAAUCCCAAAGCCCAGUCUGGGAGAUAAGGCCCAGAACCCCUCAGGGGCCAGCAACAAUCUGCCGCUAUGUCCUGCCCCCCUCUGCCCCAACUUACCCAUCUUAGACCAGGGGUAACCCCGGUGGUACUCUUCCAGGUAGAGGCCAGUGGCUACAGUUCCGAUUAGACCCCUAGCCUGGGAACCUCCAUAUGCCACGGGUGCGGCCCUAGAAAAGACAAAAAAAAAAAAAAAA
This 3073-nucleotide long non-coding RNA is filed under the name Sus scrofa (pig). Its description in RNAcentral is "lncRNA (ENSSSCG00000055007.1)". The record is from RNAcentral. Lineage: Eukaryota; Metazoa; Chordata; Mammalia; Artiodactyla; Suidae.